This 8739-nucleotide long non-coding RNA is filed under the name Solanum lycopersicum (tomato). Its description in RNAcentral is "partial TCONS_00003840". The record is from RNAcentral. Lineage: Eukaryota; Viridiplantae; Streptophyta; Magnoliopsida; Solanales; Solanaceae.
UAUCAGUCACCCAAACCCAGACCAAAUACCCAACGCGAACAGCAAAAAACCACCGACAAUGUGUUGUUCUUCCUCCUCACGAUAAUAACUCAGAAAACGCGUGCAAAAUCCAGCAAAGAAUCGCGACUCGAGCUCAACUCGAGCGUAACCAUCUUCGCACAUCCUCUCCCUAAUCUAUUCGUACAAAGCCUUUGAAUUUUUCGAAUGUCUCUAUAUCCUUUUGAUUUCGUCCUUGGACCGAAUUAGACGGCUCUACUUAAAAAUCUGUUUAGGAUUUGUACAAAUGUCAGCCGUCCCAGCCUUACCCUCGAAGGACAUUUGAAUUCUGAAUUUCUAAUUUGAAAUGUCACCCUAAAUCUACCUGAUUCCCCUCCCCCCACCCCCCACCCCUCACCCCCCACCCCCCAAAAAAAGUUUGACCUAAUUCCCUCUAUAUAAACAUUCUCUUCCUUUAGUGUUGGAGGUGAGAAAAACAGAGGAGAAUACUUAGAUAGAGUUGGGGAGACAAAAAAUCUGAAAGAAAUAUAAAUACAAGAAUACAUACAUCAAAAAAAAAAUUAGUAGUGAAGUUCCUCAAGCAAGAAUCUAUAAGAGAAUUUCUUUUGUGCUCGCCUCUUGCAAAGCUCGUCGGAGUGUCGUUGGGGUAGUGAAGUUGCUGCUCCUUCUAGCUCGUCGUCUUCCCUACUUCACUGUCGGGAAAGGAAAUCUCCUCCCUUGUAAGUUUUUUCUUUAUUUCUUCCUUCUGUACUUAGUUAUUUUCUUUUGAAACCUGAUCGUGGUUCUUAUUUCUAUUGUCUCUUGGAUUGAAUCUUGUGGUAGCAGUGAUUAGUAAUUUUUUGCUUAUUAUUUGCUUCAUUUGUCUGUCUCCUCUUCUCGUCAAUCUACUAAACAUGCUUUCUUUGUUCUUAAUUGUCAUACUAAUUUUAAAAUUUUGACUGAUGACUUAGUGUUUAAUUAUAAGGAUUGGUUAUUUGUAUAGUUCUCAAAAAACCAAGUUUAGAAACUACAUUUUUUGGAUAAAUGUAGUCGUGCCACAAGAUAUGGUCAUGUUUGAGUUCACCAGGACGCUGUAUAGAAUUCAAUCUCUUUCUUUCCUGAUUAUUUACCUGUUUGAGAAUCGAUUAUUAUUGACAUAUUGGGUUAUUUGAAGAGGUAUUUCUCUAUUUAGAGCACCAAAGCUCUUUGGGUAAUUUCAUGUUUAUCAUUUUAUAAAACUAAGAUUUUGGGUUCAUGUUCUGUUAACCUUUUUGGUUCUACCUUUAGCCUUAGUCCUUAUUAAUCUUUAAUUGAAGUAGCUUCCCUUUCAUAAGUCAGAACCAUAUAGUAUGUGGGUUUAUUAAGUUUUGUUAAAUGUGUGACACAUCCCAUUUUGAUCUUAUAUUAGUUGGUUCAAAUUUUAAUUUUAUUUUGCAUUUACUGUUCCAUUUUAAGUGCAUGAAUAUCUACAAAUCAUGGUUCAUAUCUACCUAUUCUUGUUUUGCUAUUGGAAGUGUUUGACCAUUCCUGUUGAUAUGAAAGUGGUAUCCAAUUUCGGUGUUGCAUUUAUGAAAAUAUACAUAGUGUAUUGCUCAAAGCAUGCCUACAUAUCCCUUUGUCAUGUUGCUUGUCAUUAGUUUAUUUUAUUUGUAUUUGGAGUCACUAUUAUUGUGUUACUUGUAUAGGCUUUAGUGUUUGUUUUAUUAACUCUUGUUAUCGUUAAGUGGUCGGUUGAUAUAUAUUAGUUCAUUCUGCUUUGUUUUGAGUCAUCUUUUAUGGUGAUUGAAUAGUGGUUUCAGUUUUCAUUUUGGAUCUUAAAAAAUACUUGAAUUACUUUGUUCACAAUUAAGUUAUGCCUCAUUUGUUUUAUUUGAUUUAUAUGCUAAUUUUAUUUCUUUGCUUUCUUGUAUGAAUCCUCUUCGAGUCCAUAAUGGAUAUCUUUCCUUUACAUUCCCAAAUCGAUCCAUAGAGGCUAAAACCUCUUUUGUCACAGAGUCAGCUAGACCAUGGGUGUAAAGGGAAGAAUGUGAAAUGCAAGGGGUUGGAAAUUUAAUUUCAGAUUCCAAAAUGGCCCAAAAGAAAGUUGUAUGCGUGCAGUAUACAUUCUGUAUACAUGAUAUACAAGUCCAAAAUAUGGCAAUAAAAGUUAAAAGUAGUUAAGCGCUUGAAAAGGAACAAAUAUACAGGGUGUUGAAAAGUUAAAGCUGAUAUGGAGCUUAAAAACACACCUAUAUGGUGAUGUACACUUGGUAUAUGUCACAUCUUGGGAGCACCCCUAGAAGUAACAUGGCGUAUUUGACCUCUCAAAGGUCUUAUACAAGCUCAUAGUUAUCAUUCAUCGCAUUGUUAUAGUAAAUUUUUGCGAAAAUUUAAGACUUCCAUAGCACUUCAUAUGCUAGAAACUUCACUUCAUAUAUACUCAAAAUAUCAUAUUACAUACUUAGACUCUAAGCCUCUUUGUCAUAUUAGACUCAACAAAAUUAGAGUACAUUAGCGACACGACUCUUAAAACAUAAUACAUAACUAUACAACAUUUAAACACUUUACAGUAAAGACAUUACAUUAGGAAAUCCUUGAACUUAAGGAUUCCUUUCAUUAAGCUUGGGAAUCAUCUAUCAAGCUCUUCACAUUUAGACAUCCUUUAAGCAUCCAUAACCUACACUUUGUGUAAAAAGUAGAGAAAAAUGGAUUUAGUACAAGAAUGCACUAAGUAUGACAACCAUGCAAAAAUAUGCAUUAAAAGGGAUAUUUUCUUGAAAUCAUACUUCAUACCUUUUUGAGUAAAUCUUUAUAAAACCUUUAUGCAAUUGCAUUUAUAUAAUUCACAUACUUCAUAUAGACAUAUUCAAAGGUCAAGUAUCAUAGAAAAUCACAUAUAGAAUUUAAGUCGUUUUUGAGUUCACCCUACAGUGAGCUAUCCUUUCUGUUAUUCACUAACUUCCCAAGUAACCUUGUAGUGAUACUUGGUGCAAUGCAUCAUCUUAGGCCACAAAGAAAGAAUAUAUACAACCUACACAAGUCAUCACAUAUCAUCAUAGAAGUAUAGCACAUGAUAGACACAUUUAAGCCAAGACAUAAGGACCUUACUAAAACUCUUAUCAUUAUACAUACAUAUAUAUAUAUAUAUUUAUAUACUUAUUUUACUUCACAUAGAACCUUAUGAAACCUUACUCAUAAUCCUACUCUAAGUCUACUAGUGCAAUGUAUGUGUAAAUCCCGAUAACCUCACACAUACUUAGUAAACCUAUCAUAACACCACAAGCUUAACAUUCUAUUUCAUACAUCAACAAGUAAGUGAAGACCACUCCAUUCAUGUUAACAAUCUUCAUCAUAUAAUCGUUAAGACUCACAUAGUGCAUAUAAGAAUAAGACCACACCACAUAGACUCAUACCAUGCACAUCUUCAUGAUAAAUAGACAAAUACUAUCAUCCAUGCAUAAAGACAUAAUCAUGAUCAUACACAUUAGAAGACCUUCCUAGAUCUUCCUAAGGAGAUACUUGUGCAAUGUCUAAAGGGGUUCAUUACUUCCACCUAUCCUAAGUAACCUCCCUUAGGUCAUCCUAGUUAGGGUCUUAGUCAUUUACUUCCAUUGUUCAUUUUACUUUAGGGAAACUAUAGCCUUAACAGACAUUAAGACCAUGGGCGCUAAACAUGGAAUUUGGUGUUGUAGAGCCUUACACCAAUGGAAGGUGUUCUUAACUAGCCAAGGUAGAACAUUAACACAUGCUAGCUUACUAAGUGAAUUCACUUACUAGAUCCUAUGUGGCAAGUAUAGUUACGGAACUAGGAGGUACAUGUGAAAACCCUCUUUAUGCCAAGAUGGGGCGUUAUGGUUAUUCACUUAUGGAAACCCUAUUUAUGCCUAUUGAGGCACUGUGGUUAUCCACCUCAUGAGAUUUAUGGUAGACCUUCCUUCCCACAUUGGAAAGAGCCACACACGCAUAUACAAGUUCACUCAGUGGUAAGCUAAGUUCUCUUUUAUUGAAAAAGCCUUUAUUAUCAUUUCUAAAUAAAACAUAGUCUUAGGAGAGUCAUCCCCUCAUAUGCUUAGCUCAUAGGUCAUAGAUGAAAGUUCAUUAACCUACAUCAUGUGAGAAAUCCUUUCACAUGGACAUAGCAUAUAUUAUUAGCACUAUCUAGUUUAGGAUACACUUGAGCACACCUUUCAAGGCCCCUUUAUUGAAUAGAUCAUCAUUCAUAUGUGUGCGUAUACAUAUAUGUAAGCAAACCUUUCACAUAACACAUUAAGGUCACGCAUGUUCAUACAUCCAUAUUCAUGCACAUAGAAAUCAAAACUAGAAACUAUUUUAUCAAGGCACACAUGUGCAAUGAAUAGGAAAGGUCCCAUGAAACACAUAUCAUACUUCCAUAGACAUCAUCUUAACAUGCAUAGUAGUAGACACUAGUAAAUAUGAGAACUACCUUUCAUUUAGACACCAUGACCUAUACUACUUUUAAGCAUGAAUAAUGUGUGAGUGCGUGUGUACAUUGGUCAACAUGAUCACAUAAUGGUUAUCCAUAACAUCUUGAGGCAGGCAGACUCAUAAGACCAUAACGCACAACAAAGCAUAGACCACACAACACCAUUUAGCAUGGAGGCAAGACAAUCUUCACAUUACAUUCAAGACUCCUAACCUUAGCUAUUCACACAUUCACAAUAGGGGUACAUGGGUAGGGGUCAUCAAUCCUUAAUACUUCAUUAAUGGCAGCGCCUACACAUGAUCCUAACAUAAACAUUCACAUGCUCAUGACAAUAGUAACAUAACCUAGAUUCACAACUAAAGUAGAAGACUACGCACAGGUUACACAUAAGGUGAUCAUCAUAACCACUCAUUCAUAUAUUCAUCAAUUCUUCUUCAAGGGCAUGUUCAACAUAUAUAUAAUGACAAUAAAGUAAACACCGCCACUACAAGUGGACCAUACCAUAAAAUGCCAUAAAAGGUUUCAUCAACAUUACUAUAAAGAAGUAGAGAAGUAGAAGAAUAGAGAAAUUAUUACCAAUCCAUUACUAAUCUUUCAUGAAUAAUUCAAGUAUAGGAAAAUAUCUAAAGUACCAUAAUCAUAAAAGAAACCAUGUACAAGUCGCUACAAGAUCAUAUUACAAUCUAAUACAAUAUAUCACAUAUAUAUACUAGAAAGUAGAAGAACAUAGAUCUUUAACCCAAUUCACUUGCAUUGAUAAUCAAUAACAAUUUAUCAUCAAUACAAUGUACGACAGUAGCUAAAGAAAUCAUUACUCAAACGAAAUCAUGCUUCAUCUACCCUAACAUUUAGAUCAUGUCAUAUACACUACAACAUUCACUUUGUAGGCUAGAAGAAUCUAAAUCAAUCUUUACCAAUUCAAUUGUUAUCCAUUCAUGUUAGAUCAAUUAUACCUAAUUAUCAUCACAUUAUACGUAUAGGCAGUAUCUAAGUACAAUUAACCAUGAUCGAGUCAUAUAACAACCAACCUAACGUCAAGAUCACAAGUUACCACUUGAUAAACUAGAAGAACUUAGAUAACCUCAUAUCUUCACCUUGAUCAUACAUGAUUUAUACUUACAAUUCAAUCAUUAUAUUAACCUUAGGAAGUAUCUACAAGACUCUCAACAUAUUUGAGAUCCACUUUUACACAAUUAAGGACUAAUGUUACAGUAAACACAUAGAACAUAAAGUAGUCAUGUUAAAUUCUUCAUACAUUGAUCCACAUGGACCACUCAUCAUCAAUUCAAGUAAAUAAAAGUAUAUUUAUACAAUAUAACGUAAGAGAAUCGCAAUUCAACUAUUAACAAGCUAUGAUCACAAUGCCCAUGCAAGGGCUAAAUCAAUUUUGGGAAGAGACAUGGGUUCAUAAUGCAAUUGGAUAAAAUUUCAUGUUAAAAGCAUUACAUUACAUCAAUUCAUCAUUAUUAAGACAUUAAAAACAUUUUUAGAAAGAACUCAUGGCUAUAUUGAAAAAGAAGAAGUUUGAUCGUGAAAUCUCUUUUUGAAACUUUGAGAUUAACUCUCUAGAUGGAAGGAUAACUAGUGAUAAAGGAUCACCAUACUUUGUAUAGUUGAAAACCUCUAAAUAUUGAUGAAUAAAUCAUAGAAAUCCAACCUAAUAGUUGUUCUUGAGUUUCACCUUCAAGGAGGUUUCUAGGGAGAAUUAGUUUUGGAGGGAAAAUCUAUUUUGUGUGUAUGGGAUUGGGAAUGGGUUGAUCACAUUUUUUAUCACUUGUAUACACCAAAAAAUAUCAAAAUAAAUCAAAUAGGAUCAGGUUAGUAUGUAGGGUGAAUUUACCAUUCACCCCUUUAAUGAGGCAGUCGCAUGGCAGCAGUUGCAGGCUACCAUCGACAGACAGCAUCGACGGAGCGUCGACUGGACGACGGGGCGUCCUGCUGCUCCAUCGUUAGUGACUGCAGCUUCCUCUUGGUUGAUUCAUCUCCUGUGGCUAAGUUUCAAAACACUCCCUAAUCGAUGGGGCGUCGAUGGACUGACGAGGCAUCACUUAGAGCUUGUCGAUUGACACUGCCAAGGCAGUGUCUCGAUAGCCCGUGAGUCCUUCUUGUAGGCCUUUUUGCGGGGCCCUUGGGAAGUGAUACCCGGACUUUUCCAACGUAAAUACGAACAUUGAAAAUUCAUGUACCUUCCAUGAAAGUUUCACCCAAAAUGCACACAUAAAACACGUCCAAACAUGCUAGGCCCCAUCAAGACAUACUUGAACGUCUCAAGGGCUAACUUUUGAACGUCUUAGACGUUCUUGGACGUUUGACAUCCAAACUUCAUGAAACUCCAUAUAAUGACUAUAAAUAUAAUUAUAACUCAUUUUAAGACUUCAUAAUCUCAUGAUGUACAAAUAUAAGGAUGUAUAAACACAUGACGCACAUAGGUGACUAGUUGUCGAACGUCUUGGUCGUCCCUUGACUUUUGACUUCCAAAUUACCUCAAACCUUACACACUGCCUCAAUACCAUAUUAUAAGCCAUUUUAGAACAUUAGUCCCUUAUGACAAACAUGUUAGGCUCUAGACACCCUAACUCAGUUUUGGGGUCUUACAAUAUAUAUGCAGGUUUUUAAAUGGAAAAGGGGUCCCAAACUCUUUUGUUCAAGCAGGUUCAGAAGAAAAUGAGACCUAAGAGGCCCAAUAGAGUGGUCCAUCAACAGAAAUUUAAUCAAAUAGGUCCACACUCAUCUUUUGGGCAUUUUUAGUUUUAGGACAUGUUCAUGGAUUUUGGGCCAAGACCCAAAUUUAACUCUCUCCUUUUCUUAUUAUUUAUUUGUGAUUAUGUUGACUAACAUUAUUUUUAUGAUUUGCUUUUAAUUUAAUUAAUUCCCAAAAUAUAGUCAUAUCGUCUAUUAUGUUCAAAUUUAAAUACUUAUUUUUUAAUUUAUGACUUAGUUCUAUUUUAUUUUAAUUGUCUUGCAAUAUAUGAAUUAAUCACUUUAAAAACUCCCUUCAAGUUUAUUUUCCCCUUAAAUAAAAAUGAGUUUUAUUUCUUAACAAAUAUUUUAAAAUAUAAUUGAAAAGUCAUUUUAGUCAAAUUGCCGGUCAACCGCGGGUUUUAGCGGGGGUUUCGAGGACCUAACACCUUCUCGGAAUGUACAUUAAACUUCAAACCUAUUUUUUCAAAUUGAUUUUUAUCGGUUUCAAUCCUUUUGAAAAUCUAAAGUUUUUUCUUGAUUUUUAUCAAAAAAAUUAAGUGGUGAAUCUGUCUUUUUGGAAAUUCAAUUUCUUUUCAAUAAUAAGUUUCAUCAACUUUUGAAAAAAAUCAUUUUUAUUUUUUUAUUAUUUUUUUCAAGUAAAACAACUGUGUAAAGGGACCUGGUCCAUUGAUGGUUAGUGGACGCACACCUUCCAACAAAAACUUAACUAUUUGUUUGGCAAGAAUGGCACUACCUUCAGAAAAGACAGCUAGCUAAAAUUCAUUUUUAGUUCAAUAAUGAUCUCCAAUAAGUUUUACCACUCCAAAUAAUGCAGCGGGUAUUUAAGUGUAGCACAGCCUGGAAAUGAUGCUAUAAGGCCAUCAAUGCUAGUGUGAAUACCGAUUCAUUGACAAAUAUAGUGCAGUCAGAGUGUAUUUACAAAUCGGAGAUACUGAUUUUUCCUCUCUGACCCCUUUCAGUUUGUUAAGAGUUAGUCAUCCAUAUACUGAUACUUCCUCUAUGUGCUAAUUAUUUUGCUGCAGCUAUGCUAAAGCAUAGAAGACUCCUAUAAUAACUCAACAGUAGAUUAACAAACAACUGAUUAGAACACAUGUUAAAGAGAACAAGACCUUUGGGUGUAUCAGAUGAAGUAUGAUAUGUGAGAGGAUUGCUAACAGAAGUUUCAAGAUUUGGGAUCUCGGGUAAUGUUUAAUGGCCUUAUAGGAAUAUGUGGAACCUGUUGAUUGCAUUGACAAUCAUUUAUCAUGUAUGGAUGAAUUUUUUUGUAGUCUCAACUUAAUAGACUUAUCGCUGAAGUUGCUCAUCGUGCAAGAGAAAUAUUAGGUUUCGCAUCUUUUGGCUUAUGGAAAUUACCAACUAGUUUUAUUCUUGAGGUGUCUAGCUACGAAGAUGGUAUAUGACCAAUGUAAAUUAUGCGAGUUCUCAUAGAGUAUUAAUUCUAGAAUAUGAUAUGGUCAUUUCUUUUCAGAUGGAUGUAAUAUAUUGCUCCUUAACAUUUAAAGAAUUUUGUUAUGUAAUUUUGAAAUGCUUAUAUUUUUCAUAUAUGAUGGCUAAUUUGUUUCAAUAAUCUUACUUGUAUAUUUGCGUCAAUACUUAUUGUAUAGCAAAUAAAUAAGAUUUGAGCAAUUAAAUUGGAG